AACGCGAAGAACCUUACCCAGGCUUGACAUGCAGUGGACAGCGCCAGAGAUGGCGCCUUCCUUCGGGACCGCUGCACAGGUGCUGCAUGGCUGUCGUCAGCUCGUGCCGUGAGGUGUUUGGUUAAGUCCAGCAACGAGCGCAACCCUUAUCGUUAGUUGCCAACAUUUUAGGUGGGAACUCUAGCGAGACUGCCCGGGUUAACCGGGAGGAAGGUGAGGAUGACGUCAAGUCCGCAUGGCCCUUAUGUCUGGGGCUACACACGUGCUACAAUGGUCGGUACAGAAGGCAGCAAAACCGCGAGGUGAAGCAAAUCCCAAAAAGCCGGCCCCAGUUCAGAUUGUAGUCUGCAACUCGACUACAUGAAGAUGGAAUUGCUAGUAAUGGCGAGUCAGCUACAUCGCCGUGAAUACGUUCCCGGGCCUUGUACACACCGAUAGC
Molecule: ribosomal RNA, 439 nt
Filed under: uncultured bacterium
Lineage: Bacteria
Description: bacterial SSU rRNA
Rfam family: Bacterial small subunit ribosomal RNA
Source: RNAcentral